This is a long non-coding RNA of Herpailurus yagouaroundi (jaguarundi), 141 nucleotides long. RefSeq lists it as uncharacterized. NCBI's taxonomy places the organism in Eukaryota, Metazoa, Chordata, Mammalia, Carnivora, Felidae. The transcript is spliced from 5 exons. The record is from RefSeq and is a predicted model, not a curated record.
ACUUGUGCUCUUCCGAUCUGGUGGUUUUCCCAGGGCGAGGCUUAUCCACUGCACUCCGGAUGUGCUGACCCCUGCGAUUUCCCCAAAUGUGGGAAACUCGACUGCAUAAUUUGUGGUAGUGGGGGACUGCUCUGGAAGAGC